Non-coding RNA from Sparassis crispa, 72 nucleotides. The record is from the annotation of a RefSeq genome assembly. Lineage: Eukaryota; Fungi; Basidiomycota; Agaricomycetes; Polyporales; Sparassidaceae.
GGCUCAGUGGUCUAGUAGUAUGAUACUCGCUUAGGGUGCGGGUGGUCCUGGGUUCGAUUCCCAGCUGAGCCC